AGUGAACGCUGGCGGUAGGCCUAACACAUGCAAGUCGAACGGCAGCACAGUAAGAGCUUGCUCUUACGGGUGGCGAGUGGCGGACGGGUGAGGAAUACAUCGGAAUCUACUUUUUCGUGGGGGAUAACGUAGGGAAACUUACGCUAAUACCGCAUACGACCUACGGGUGAAAGCAGGGGAUCUUCGGACCUUGCGCGAUUGAAUGAGCCGAUGUCGGAUUAGCUGGUUGGCGGGGUAAAGGCCCACCAAGGCGACGAUCCGUAGCUGGUCUGAGAGGAUGAUCAGCCACACUGGAACUGAGACACGGUCCAGACUCCUACGGGAGGCAGCAGUGGGGAAUAUUGGACAAUGGGCGCAAGCCUGAUCCAGCCAUACCGCGUGGGUGAAGAAGGCCUUCGGGUUGCAAAGCCCUUUUGCUGGGAAAGAAAAGCAGCAGGUUAAUACCCCGCUGUUCUGACGGUACCCAAAGAAUAAGCACCGGCUAACUUCGUG
Molecule: ribosomal RNA, 492 nt
Filed under: uncultured bacterium
Lineage: Bacteria
Description: partial 16S ribosomal RNA
Rfam family: Bacterial small subunit ribosomal RNA
Source: RNAcentral